ACGAUGAAUCUUCUAGCUUGCUAGAAGUGGAUUAGUGGCGCACGCGUGAGUAAUGCAUAGGUUAUGUGCCCUUUAGUCUGGGAUAGCCACUGGAAACGGUGAUUAAUACUGGAUACUCCCUACGGGGGAAAGUUUUUCGCUAAAGGAUCAGCCUAUGUCCUAUCAGCUUGUUGGUGAGGUAAUGGCUCACCAAGGCUAUGACGGGUAUCCGGCCUGAGAGGGUGAUCGGACACACUGGAACUGAGACACGGUCCAGACUCCUACGGGAGGCAGCAGUAGGGAAUAUUGCUCAAUGGGGGAAACCCUGAAGCAGCAACGCCGCGUGGAGGAUGAAGGUUUUAGGAUUGUAAACUCCUUUUGUUAGAGAAGAUUAUGACGGUAUCUAACGAAUAAGCACCGGCUAACUCCGUGCCAGCAGCCGCGGUAAUACGGAGGGUGCAAGCGUUACUCGGAAUCACUGGGCGUAAAGAGUGCGUAGGCGGGGUAAUAAGUCAGAUGUGAAAUCCUGUAGCUUAACUACAGAACUGCAUUUGAAACUGUUACUCUGGAGUGUGGGAGAGGUAGGUGGAAUUCUUGGUGUAGGGGUAAAAUCCGUAGAGAUCAAGAGGAAUACUCAUUGCGAAGGCGACCUGCUGGAACAUUACUGACGCUGAUGCACGAAAGCGUGGGGAGCAAACAGGAUUAGAUACCCUGGUAGUCCACGCCCUAAACGAUGGAUGCUAGUUGUUGCCUUGCUUGUCAGGGCAGUAAUGCAGCUAACGCAUUAAGCAUCCCGCCUGGGGAGUACGGUCGCAAGAUUAAAACUCAAAGGAAUAGACGGGGACCCGCACAAGCGGUGGAGCAUGUGGUUUAAU
Molecule: ribosomal RNA, 854 nt
Filed under: uncultured bacterium
Lineage: Bacteria
Description: bacterial SSU rRNA
Rfam family: Bacterial small subunit ribosomal RNA
Source: RNAcentral